UACGGAGGGUGCAACCGUUGCUCGGAAUUAUUGGGCGUAAAGCGCACGUAGGUGGCUCGUUAAGUCGGAUGUGAAAGCCCUCGGCUCAACUGAGGAAGUGCAUUCGAAACUGGCGAGCUUGAGUACUGAAGAGGGUCGCGGAAUUCCCGGUGUAGAGGUGAAAUUCGUAGAUAUCGGGAGGAACACCAGUGGCGAAGGCGGCGACCUGGGCAGAUACUGACACUGAGGUGCGAAAGCGUGGGGAGCAAACAGG
This 253-nucleotide ribosomal RNA is filed under the name uncultured bacterium. RNAcentral's name for it is "partial 16S ribosomal RNA". It matches the Rfam family "Bacterial small subunit ribosomal RNA", at positions 524 to 776 of the family's 1533-position model. The record is from RNAcentral.